Molecule: long non-coding RNA, 22344 nt
Filed under: Nicotiana tabacum (common tobacco)
Lineage: Eukaryota; Viridiplantae; Streptophyta; Magnoliopsida; Solanales; Solanaceae
Description: long non-coding RNA (NTAB_LNC016094)
Source: RNAcentral
UUUUUUUUUGUCAUAUUGUAUGUUGUUGUUUUCUUCUACAUGUGAUACUGAGACUUGAGCGGUUGAUGACUGUUGUGGGUCAUAGAGUCGUAUUGUGAGAUAUAUUUAGAUUGGGUUGCAUUAUACAACAGAUUAAUAUUUGGAUUGGAUUGCACGCCGCAACAGAUUAAUAUUUGGAUUGGGUUACACGUCGCAACAGAUUGAUAUUUGGAUCGGAUUGCACGCUGUAACAGUUAUAUUGAUUAUUGAUUAGCGCUUGGGACAUGGCCUACCCCUCCGGAGUAUGCUAUUACAAUGAGCGCAGGAACAAAGAUAUAUGUGCUUUGGUAAGGGAAAGUUGUGCCAGGCACCCGUACAGAGCUGAGUGUGGUUGUGUGUGAUAGUGAGGGGCAUUUGUUCCAGGCACCGUGAGUGUGCGGAGAGUGAGUGCACUUGAUGAUUUCACUAUGAUGUUAUUGACUUGAUAUGCACAUUUGGCAUGUAGGUAUAGAGAUGUUUUUUUUUCUGAUGAUAGCUAGUAAAUGAAAUAUCUUAUCUAUGUUGAGCUUUGACUAUUAUAUUUGGAAAACAUGUCUAAUUUUCUAUAAUUGUGAACGAGCUAAACGCGAUAUCUUUUGAGUUAUUUGUUUUUACUGUUUUCAUUAUAUUAUGAGUUGUUAUUGAUUAUUGGUGUUGGACCCUAACUUUCUAUCGAGCUCGUCACUACUUUCAACCCACGAUUAGGUUUGUUACUUAUUGAGUACAUGGAGUCGGUUGUACUCAUACUACUCUCUGCACUUUAUGUAUAGAUCUAGGUACUUUCGGACAUGGUGAUUGCGAAAGGUUGCACUGGUACCAUCUUGUGGAGACUACGAAGUAGUUGUUACGUCGUUCGCAGACCUUAAAGGUCUCUUUAAUUUAUUUAUGAUAUUACUAAUCUAUUAUUCAGACAGUUGUAUUGAGGAUUGUAUUUUGCGAUUCUAUAGCGCUCAUAUACUCGCUGACACCAAAUCUUUGAGGGUUGGUUGCGAUGUUGUAGUUAUUUUCAAACAUUUUAUGAUAUUAUUGUUGUUGAGAUUACCAAGUUAUGUUAUCUGUGUUUACUAUUAUUGAUAAAUUAUGGCUUGCCUAGCAAGUAGUGUUAGGCGUCGUCACGACUUCAGUGGAAAUUUUGGUCGUGAAAUUGGAGCAUACCCCAAAUGCUAAAACAAUAUAAAUAAAUACUAAAUUUUAGUCCACACCGAGAAGAAAAGCAAGAAAAGGUGUGGUGGAAGCUAGUCCUAUCCUGUAGUACCGGGAACAUGAUCGGUAAUAUCUGCAUCCAUGAAAAAUAAAAACAGGCCUUCACGGGCUAAGUCAUGACGAGAUAGCUAGCAAGUCUCAUAGGCUACCUCCUAAGAAGGCAGGAUGAGACCUUUGGGAUAAACAUAACAAAAAGAGAAAAAUAUCCACGUAGAGCAUGUAAGCAAUUUAAGGUCUUAAAACUAAUAGCUGGCUGAAGACCAAAACUAUAAGUUGAACAUGUAAACAAAUAAUUAAAAAUUAAAACUUUUAAAUAUUAUUUAAAAUGAAAUGGAAUUUAAGUUACAUAUAGUGGCCCUACGUACGUAUGAUCUGGCAACACGCACAUGCCUAUCUCCCCAACAAAUAAUAGCCCCUGCGAGCGUGGGAUAGCUAAUCCUGGCCCUAAUGGUACUCACGCAUGGGGAGGUCGGCUAGCUAUCCUUUAUGACUCUGAUCACAUUAAUGCAUUAAAGAAUGAAUGAUGAAACCGAAUACUAAACUAAACGUAAAUAUCACAACUAAAGGUACAUAACAAGUAGUAAUACAAGUAAGCAUGUAAUUCUAUCGCAUAUAAAGUAGUACUGAAUAAGAAUGGAGUGAACUCAGUAAUGGAAUACAAGAAGACAUGGCUUAGAUUUAUUGAGCACAUGGGGCACGAGGGUGUUAAUAAAAUUCCCUACUAGGAGAGUGAGCCUUAACUCACCUCAAAGCUAUGUGCUCACUGCAUUCACGCUUCCUUCAAGAAAUCACGAUUCACAAGUUUAUCUACAUGAUAAAGAGGUUCAAUUUACAUUGAUAGAAGAACUAAGUGUAUAACUUAAUUCACUUAGUUCAUGAAUAUUUAGGCUUAACUUGUCCAACUUGUAAAUUUUAACUCAAUAUGCACAAAUUAAGUCCACAUGUUCCAAGUUCUAUCAAUUAAUAUCAAUCGUCAAGUACACCCCCCAAGUUAUAAUAAUUGGCACCCAUUAAUUUAUCAUCAUCUUUUACCAUCACGCUUAUAUCCAAAGCUUCAAGUACUCGGAACAGAGAAGCAACUGAUAAACUAGCAUAAAUAAUGUUACUAAUUACACAAUAUCAACUAUUAUGAUAUUUUCAAAAUAUUGAUACCAUAAUUUAAGUGGGGGCAUGAUAACUUAAUCCAAAUAUAUUUACUUAGUUGAAAAGUUGUAAUAUUUAAUAAAGAAUACUUCUUUUAAACCUAAAGGAUGCUCAUUCACCCCAUCCGUAACUAAGCGCAAAACAUCACAUGAAUUUGAAUGUCAAUGAAUUGGGUAAAGUAUGUUUUGUUCCAAAAUUCAUUCUUUAAAUUAUAUAUGAUGGUGCCCACUAUAAUAAAGAUGUAUGCAAUACUCUAUUACCUUGAAUUUCUUCUUCUGCGCUAAUGAAACUUGAAACAAUACUUGGGGAAUCCUAAUUCUCCUUUCCGCCGUUACUACUCCAUUUUUAUUAUCUAAGGAGUUCCAAACCCCUUUCCCUUAAUCCCCUCACUAACAGACGUGGGAUUGACCCAUUAUCUAAUUAUUAAUAACAUCUUUUUCUUUUCUCUUUUUUUCCCUCAUUCUUUGUUUUCUUUUCUUUGUUCAAAUUAUUAUUUCCAGCACUUUAGAUCCAUAUCUUGCACUCAUGGGUAUUCCAGAUAAUAUGCGUGAAGUGUGUGGGUCUUUAUACUCCACAGGUAUGUUAAUUAUAUUAUUAAAUCCGUAAUUACUGAAUUUUCAAACCUUGAAAUUUAUGGGGACUUACAUUCUCCCUCGCUUGGGAACAUUCGUCCUCGAAUGUGGUGUUACAGUUGUAUUUAGUCUAAAGAAAGAUUUCAUGUGUCACACCCCAACCUUGGAAGGAACGACUGGCACACGAGGCCUGAAGGCCCGUGCAAACCAGCGGUCUUGCUUACAUCUUUUUAAUCAUGACACUUGGGCCAACGAGGCCUCCAAGACUAAUACCAGAGUUAAAAUAUGCAUAACUAACUUGCAAAAGAAACAUUGAUAUUUUAUACAUAAUCAUAGUUAUACCCAUCAAAGUCAUAACGCACCCUUUUACAUACAACCAAAAUCUAAUCUGCAGAUCUCUAAGAGCACCAAAAGAAAAAUAUACAUAUAUAUAUAUAUAUAUAACUAGGUCAGUACAGGGCACCACCAUACCCAAAAUGAUUAGAACAUAUACUUCAGUACCUAGCGACUUUGAAUAGCUACUCCAGAGAAGUGGAUAGCAACAACCAACAGUUGAAUGUGCACCUACUGGGGAGAGGCGUCACCGGGUCUAUCUGUACAUGUGGUCAUGAACACUGUGUCCAAAAGAAAGGGGCGUCAGUACGGCAAAUGUACUGAGUAUGUAAUACUAGGAAGAGGGGUAAAUCCAAGACAUAGCAUAAGAGAUAUGAAUAUAUGAUUUCAACCUGGAUACCGAAGACAAGCCAUGUGGGGACAUAAAUUGUAGAAACCAUCAAACUUAAAGUAUGCACGUUUUGCAAAAAGUUAAGCCACUCAUGGAGACUAUGCAUUAAUUAUAGUAUAAUAAUACUCAGCCGCUAUUUGGGGCAUAUCAAUUUGUAUCGUACUCGGCCUCGAAGAGGACUCGGUAAAAUCUUACAUUAUUAUUACAUCGUAUCCGGCCUCAAGAGAUCUCGGUUGUACCCGGUCUCAUUAAAGCUCGGCGCACCCGUUCUCAGAAGGACUCGGUCGUACCUGGCCACACAAGGGCUUGGUAAUAUUUUAUAUCACAUCACUCCAUACACGGUCAUAUAUAGGACUAGGUCGUACCCGAUCACACAAAAGCUCGGUAGCAUUUCAUAUUGUAACUCAUCAUACCCAACUGAUCAGUGGUUUCACAAUAGGUAUCAUACCUGGCCGUCUAUAGCAUGGCUCGGUAGUGUAAAAUAAAUACAUACAUAUAUAUAAGUGCAAUGUAUGAUCAUUUUCAAGAUACACUAAGACUUCACUCAAAUGAAACAGAAUCCUACUUUCUUUCCUCAAGACACUAUCUGGGAACAUCUUCAGACUUUAAAAGAAAGGCUAUUGGUUGGAAAAUACAAGAACAUGAACAACAUUUUUGGGAAGGGCUUAGAGCAAACUAAUUUUCAACAUAGAAAUCCUUUAGAGGGAGGGAGGGAGAGAGAGAGACUUACACCAAAUCAUGAUAAGACAGAAAGACGCCUUACAUACCUUGUUGUAGAAAUAGUUACGUUUCUAUGAUGGUUACUCUUCUCCCAACGAAUCUCCAGAAUUAAUACAACGAGAUAAUAGAUAUUCUAGUGACGAUUCCAAUCUCCUACACGUUAAUCCUACUAGAUUCAAUUUCGAUUGUCUUAGACUAUUUUGGGAGUUUUAAAGGGGGUUUGAGAGUAUUUUGGGAGAACUGAUGUUGGUGAUAUCUUCUAGAAUGAGGGAGAAGAGGGAUGCACUAUUUUGUUUAUACUAUACCAUGCCCAGGAUAUUCCUCAUUAUUCACAUGCAAAAUAGGUCGCCCCGCCCUGGUUAUAGCACCUGGUAGGACAACUAGCGCACGUCUAAUGAAACAUGUAGCCACAUUCUAUCCUCGUACGUGUUACUGGUUGUUUAGCCACGCCAAACUUACCAAGAUUUACUAUAUGUGUGGGGUGUAACAUCAUACCCCCUUCGAAAUAUUCAUCCUCGAAUGUUGAAUCGUAGUCACUCCUUGCGAACGUCUUUUUCAUUUUGGGCUAUGCCCGUCAUGGUAAUCCUUUCGUUGCUUCUUGUUAUAAGGAACAAAUGGGGGUACAUGGAUUUCAUAUCUUUCUCAUCUUCCCAGGUUAUUUCUUCUAUGUUAUUGUUUCUCCAAAGUACUUUAACCGAAGCUACCUCUGUGAUUCGCAACAUGCGCACUUGACGGUGUAGGAUAUCCACCGAAAUUUCUUCAUAGGAUAGGUCCUCCCUAACUUGAAUAUCUUCAAUAGGGGUAACAUGCUAGGGGUCACCCCAAGCACUUGCAAAGCAUGGACACAUGGAAUACCGAAUGCACUGCUUCUAAUUCCGGGGUAAUUCAAGCUUAUAAGCCACUUGACCGAUUUUCUGAGUAAUUCAAUAUGGUCCGAUAUACCUAGGGCUGAGUUUGCCUUUCUUACCAAACCUCAUCAUGCCUUUCAUAGGCGACACUUUCAAAAAUACCCAGUCUCCUUCAUAAAACUCCAAAUCUCAUCAUCGGUUAUCUGAAUAGGAUUCUUUCCUGAUCGGAGCGGUUAAUAAAUAAUGAAUCAUUUUCACCUUUUCUACAGCAUGUUGCACCAACUCAAGGCCCAAUAACUUUGUUUUACCAACUUUGAACCAGUCGAUAGGAGAUCUAUACUUUCAUCCGUAUAGGGCCUCAUACGGUGCCAUCUGAAUACUAGCAUGGUAGUUGUUGUUGUAAGAACAUUCGAUGAGUGGUAGAUGGUCCUCCCAAUUUCUUAUAAAAUAAAAAAAACAGGCUCGUAACAUGUCCUAGUACCCAAUUCUUUUUGGAUAGAUCUCCAAAUAUUAGCCAUAAUUUGGGCACCUCUAUCUGAUAUGAUGGAAAUCAUAAUCCCAUGGAUUCAAACUAUUUCUUUGAUGUACUACUUAGCAUAAUCUUCAGCUAAGAAGGUAGUCUUAACUGGUAGUAAGUUAGCCGGCUUGGUGAAUUGAUCUACGAUAACCCAUACGAAAUCAAAUCUUCUGCGCGAUCGCGGUAGUGCGGUGAAAAAAUCCAUGUUGAUAACCUCCCAUUUCUAGGUUGGAAUUUCCAUAUUUUGAAGUAACUCUCCCAAUUCUGGUGUUCAACCUUAACUUGUUGGCAAUUUGGACAUUAGGCGACAUAUUCAGAGAUGUUCCUCUUCAUGACAUUCCACCAUUGAAGAUCAGGGUACAUCUUGGUUGACCCCUGAUGAACAAAAUACCGGGACUGAUGAAUCUCCGCCAUGAUUUGCUCUCGGAGUACACCGACAUCAGGUACAGACAUACGGUCCUUGUAUCAAAGGACUCCAUCCUCAGAUAACUCGAACACUUGCUUAUUUUGAGAGGGAAUGCUUUAUCUUAUUUUCACCAAAGAUGGGUAAUCAAAUUGUCGUGCUUUUACUUCAGCCAUUAGCAACGAUUCGGCAGUAUUUCGAACUAUGGAUCCUCCGUUACCGGUAUCGAUCAAUCAUACACUUAAGUCAGUCAAUCGGUACAAUUCUUUGGUCACCUCCAACUUAUGCUUUUUCACAUUUUGUAGACUACUCAUAGCUUUCCGACUUAAUGUAUCAGCCACAAUGUUUGCAUUCCUAAGGUGAUAUAGAAUAUUAAUAUCGUAAUCUUUUAACAAUUCAAGCUACCUCCGCUGCCUCAGAUUUAUUUCUUUUUGCUUGAAUAUGUACUGCAAGCUCUUGUGAUCGGUGAAUAUGUAAACAUGAACUCCAUACAAAUAGUGAAACCACAUCUUUAAGGCAAGUAUAACAGCUGCUAGAUCCAAGUCGUGAGUUGGGUAAUUUUUCUCGUAUUUCCUUAGUUGUCUCGAAGCAUAAGCAACAACUCUCUCGUAUUGCAUCAAAACAAUGCCCAAUCCUAUUCUAGAGGCUUCAUAAUAUAAAACGUACCCCUCAGGUCCUUCAAGAAGAGUUAGAGCCGACGCCGAGGUUAACCUAUCCUUUUACUCUUGGAAUCUCUUAUCACAAACAUCGGUCCGCCAUAAGUUUGCUUCCUUAUGUGUCAACUUUGUUAAGGGAGCAGCUAUAGAUAUGAAAUUUGCUACAAAUAUUUGGUAGCAACCGGCUAAUCCUAAGAAACUGUGUACCUGCAUAGGAUUAGUGGGCCUUGGCCAAUUCUUAACCGCUUCAAUCUUUUUGACUAUCAAUUUGGAUACCCUCACUCGACACUAUGUGCCCAAGGAAAGCCACCGAGCUCAGCCAGAACUCGCGUUUAGAAAACUUAGUGUACAACUGGUGAUCCCGGAGUGUGCAUAGGACCUUUCGUAAAUGUUUUGUGUGCUCUGAUUCUGAUCGAGAAUACACCAAAAUAUCGUCUAUGAACACGAUCACGAAAAAAUUCAAAAAUAGCUUGAACACCCGAUUCAUCAGAUCCAUGAAGGCCUUUGGUGCAUUGGUUAGGCCAAAGCACAUGACGACAAACUCGUAAUGGCGAAACCUGGUCUAAAAGGUUGUCUUCGGAACAUAUUCUUCCUUGAUCCUUAAUUGAUGAUACCUAGAUCUGAGAUUGAUCUUUGAGAAAUACUUAGCGCCUUGCAAUUGAUCAAAAAAAUCAUCAAUUUUCGGAAGAGGGUACUUGUUGUUAAUGCUUACCUUAUUCAGCUGUUGGUAAUCACUAUUCAUCCUCAACGAAACAUCUUUCUUUCGAACAAAUAGAACGGGGGCUUCCCACAGAGAAGUACUAGGUCGGAUAAAGCCCUUAUCAAGAAGGUCCUUCAACUGAUCCUUUAGUUUCUUCAACUCGACAGGAGCCAUCCUGUACGGAAGAAUAGAUAUCGGUUGCAUAUCGGGUGGCACAUCGAUGGCAAAAUUGAUCUCUCUCUUGGGUGAAACUCCCGGGAGCUCAUCAAGGAACACAUCGAGAAAUUCACUAACAACCGGAAGCGAUUGAAGGGUUGGAGGUUUUGCCUCCGCAUCAAAUAAUAGAAACACCCUUUCGUGAUUAUCUUUUGAGCCUUAAGGUAAGAAAUAAAAUUUCCUUUUGGCGCUACUACAUCACCCUUCCAAUAAAAAAUGGGCUCUCCCAGAAAGUGCGAAUAACUUUUUUCCAACAAUCCACCGUAGCAUAACAAGAGGCUAGCAAAUUUAUCCCCAUAAUAGCAUUAAAUUCUAUCAUUUCUAACUCAUUCAAAUCAGCUAAGGUAUGGUGAUCAUCAAUCAUCACAUCACAACCUCAAUAUACCUUCCUAACUACCAUGGACUCGCCCACGGGCGUGGACACUUCAAAUAAUUUUUGUAACAAUUCAGGUACUUUACCACAUUUACCAGCAACAAAUGGAGUAAUAUAUGACAAGGUAGAGCCUUGAUCUAUUAGAGCAUACGCACUAAUGAAAAAUAUGGAUAGCAUACAUGCGACCACGUCCGGUGAUGACUCCAGGUUUUGUCAGCCUGACAAUGCAUAAAUACGGUUUUGUUGUUCGCUUGAGCUAGUCACUCUGCCUCAACCUCUACCUCUUCCCACCUGCGGUUGCAUACCUUGCUCAUGAGGAUGUGUUGUCAAUGAAGAAGUUGUUGUUGAUCACGUUGGCGGUAUCCCGCCACCCACGUUUCUCAUUGGGCAAAAGCGCAUGAUAUGACCAGGCUGCCCAUAAGAAUAAUGCAAGUCUUAGCCCUGGCGGCAAUGUCCAAAAUAAUUUCUACCACAUGCCAUAAUGUGGCACCGGAGGCCUCAUCUUACUAGGGUCUACACUAUAUUGUGAGCUCUAUCCUCGGGGAUUCUGACCCUGGCCGGAGUAGGUGAUCCGAUCACGACAUUGACCUUAGAAUUGUGAUGUCGUGCUAUCCACCAGAUUAGAUGGAUGUCAGGGAAAAUAAUGUCUAAACUUAUCUCAUAACUCUGCCAUAUCGCUUAUAGACCGGGCUCUCUUAUGUUGGCCCCAAUCAUGCUCUCGAGCGGCUCGCUAUUGCCUCUUACGAUCCUCCAGGUUCUGCGCAUAGGUUUGAAUACGGUCAAUAUCCAUAAUUGGAUUCAAAGAAGUUGUGGUGCAUUCAUUUUUCAGAUGUGGUCCCAAACCGUCCACAAAUUGAUAUACCCGAUCACUCAUCUCAGCCACCACCAAGGGAGCAUACCUAGCCAAGGAGUUAAAUUGCAUGCUAUACUCGCGGACACUCAUAUUACCUUGCUCCAACCAUAAGAAUAUGUCUUGUUUUGCUCGACGGAGCUCAACGGGCAAAUACUGCUGCAAGAAUGCCUCAGAGAAUUCCCUCCACCCUAUUGCUGGGGCAACAGAUCCCCCAGACUAUUCUCAAGUCUCAUACCAAGUCACAGCUGUAUUCCACAAUCAGUAAAAGGCAAGCUCUAUGGACUCAGUAUCAGUGGCAUGCAUAACUCGUAAAAUCCGAUGUAUUUGAUUUAGAAAAUUUUGGGGAUCUUUAUUUGGAUUUUUUUCCAGUUAAUACUGGGGGUCCAAAUUAAUGAAAUCACGAACUCUUCCACUGACCGUUCUAUCUGAAGUGUUGGGGGCCUGCUAUUGGGCCUGAGAGGCCACUAACCGAAUCAACAACUAUACAACACUUCUCAUAUCUAAAUCAUGUUCAGUAGUAAUCGGGGGAGGAACAGGAGGUACACUAGUUUCCCUCUGAUGUUCCAGGGGAAAUGGUGUUGUCCCUGAAACCUGAGUACCAGCCUUAUCGUGAGAUCCAUGUUGGACUAUAGGGUCAGGUGGCACCUGACUGGUACCUUCUCCCGCUUCUUCAUUAAAUCCCUGAAAAAUUGUCUGAUGUCUCGUUUUAGGCAUCACUAUAAUCAUAAACAAGAUGGGGAUUAGAAGUAAAUACUUACGACUCAGCUCUAUCACAUGAUCUAGAUUAGAAAGAAAGGUAUCCACCUAAGAUAUCCCGUAGCCUCCUAUUUAUAAGUAUGGUGCAUAACAUACCCAUAAACAAGACUCUAAGAUACGUCUUACAGACUUUCUAGGACACGACUUACUCUGAUACCAAGUUUGUCACACCCCAAUCUUAGAAGGUGCGACUGUCACUCGGCGGCCAAAGGCUCAUGAAAACCGGCGUCCAUGCAUACAUAUUUUUAAUCAUGAGACCUGGGCCAAUGAGGCCUAUACAUACUAAUAACAGAGUUAAAAUGUAUACAACUGACUUACAAAAGAAAUAUUACCAUUUUAUACAUAAUCAUAGUUGUACCCAUCAAGUCAUAACCCACCCUUUUACAUACAAUCAAACUCUAGUAUUCAAGCCCCUAAGAGUACCAAAAGGAAAAUAUACAUAUACAUAACUUGGUCCGUACAUGGCCUCACUGUACCAAAAAUGAUUAGAAUAUAUACUUCAGUACCUAGAAACAUUUGAACAGCUACUCCGGAGAAGUGGAGAGCAACAACCUACAGCUGAACGUGUACCUACUGGGGAGGGGCGUCACCGGGUCUAUCUGUACCUGUAGGCAUAAACACAGUGCUUAAAAUAAAGGGGCGUCAGUACAGUAAAUAUACUGAGUAAGUAAGACUAGGAAGAAGGGUAAAUACAAGUCAUAGCAUAAAAGAUAUGAAUAUAUGAUUUCAACCUCGAUACCGAAGACAAGCCACAAGGGGCAUAAACUGUAGAAACCAUCAAACCCAAAGUAUGCUAGUUUUACAAAAGGUUAAGCCACUCAUGGAGACUAUAUAUUAAUUAUAAUAUAAUAAUACUCAGCCGCUCAUUGGGACAUAUCAUUUCAUACCGUACCCGACCUCGAAGAGGACUCGGUAAUGUCUUCCAUUAUUAUCACAUCGUACCCGGCCUCAAGAGAUCUUGGUCAUACCCGGUCUCAGUAAAACUCACUCUACCCAGUCUUAGAAGGACUCGGUCGUACCCGACUACAGAAAGGCUCGGUAAUAUUUCAUAUCACAUCAUUCCAUACUCGGCCUCAUAGAGGACUCAAUCGUACCCGUCACACAUGGGCUCGGUAGCAUUUCACAUUGUAAGUAUAUAUAUGUAUGUAUGUAUGUAUAUAUAAGUGCAAUGUAUGGAUAUUUUCAAGAGACACUAAGACUUCACUUAAACAAAUUAGAAUUCAACUUUCUGACCUCAUGACACUAUCUGGGAAUAUUUUCAGACUUUAAAAGAAAGGCUACCAAUAAGAACGUACAAGAACAGGAAUAACAUUAUUGGGAAGGGCUUAGAGCAAACCAAUUUUCAAUAUAGAAAUCCUUUAGAAGGAGAGAGAGAGAGAGAGAGAGAGAGAGAGAGAGAGAGAGAAGAGAGAGAGAGAGGAGAGAGAGAGAGAGAGAGAGAGAGAGAGAGAGAGAAGAGAGAGAGAGAAGAACGUACGUACAUGCCAAGAAAGAAAGUCAUCGUACAUACCUUGUUUAGAUAUAGCUACGCUUCUACGAUGGUUACUCUGCCUCCAACGAAUCUCCAAAAUUAAUACAACGAGAUAAUAGAUAUUCUAGUGACAAUUCCAAGCUCCUUCAUGUUGAAUCCUGCUUGAUUCACUUUCGACUGCCUUAGAUUGUCUUGGAAAUUUUGAAGAGGGUUGCACUACUUUUUUUAUACUAUACCAUGCCUAGGCGAUUUUGCCAUAUUCACAUGCAAAAUAGGUCGCUCCACCCCGGUUACAGCACCUGGUGGGACAGAUGGCAUGCGUCUAAUGAUACAUGUAGCCACCUUCUAUCCUCGUACGCGUCGUCGGCUGGUUGGCCGCACCAAACUUACCAUGCUUUACUUAUGCGUGGGGUGUAACAUCAGGCCUUGUGCCACUCCGACUUAUUCCUUAGGAUCCAAAAUUUUGUCUAACUCCUAAAAUUUCAAAACAAAUUGGUAGAGUUUCCUGCGUAACUGGAGUUAUCAAAAAAAUUCAACUUGUCCAAACCACUCAACAAUAAUAUUUUUCACCUCUAGCUACUCGAUCCAAUAAUUUACAAUGUCAAGGCCCACCGAUAUACCACUAAAGCCACUUUACCUCACUAUAAGCACAAAUAUAUCAUAACUUCCCAAUCUAAGUAUUUUAAAGCAUAAAAUGAAUUAUGUACCUGAAAUCUCGAACAAAUAAGGAUACUUUUCCUUUAUAGCUUCCUUAGGCUCCCACGUGGCUUCCUCAGUUGAAUGGUUGCUCCAUAUUACUUUUACAGAAGCCACAUCUUUUGUUCGAAGUCUACUAACUUGCCUGUCUAUUAUAGCUACAUGGGCCUCCUCAUAUGGAAGAGUAUCAUCAAACUCUAUCUCUUGCCUAUGAAUUACAUGACUCGAAUCGUGAAAGUACUUUUUUAUCAUGGACACAUGAAAAACUGAAUGCAUCGAAAAUAACUCUGGAGGUAAAGCUAGACGAUACGCGACAAGCCCAAUCCUUUCAAGAAUUGGAUAAGGCCCUAUAUAUCUUUGGCUAAGCUUCCCUUUUAUACCAAACCUCAUGAUGCCCUUCAUUGGAGACACCUUUAAAAAUACAUAUUCACCUUCUUUGAACUCAAGAUCGCAACGUCUUAUAUUUGCAUAUGACUUUUGUCUGCUUUGAGCUAUUUUAAGUCAUUUCUGAAUCAGUUUCAACCUUUUCAAGGCAUCUUGUACUAUAUUUGGUCCAAUAAGCUUCGUUUUACCUAUCUCAAACCAUCCUAUAGGUAAACGACACCUCCUCCCACAUAGGGCCUCGGAUAGGCCAUCUGAAUACUUGCAUGAUAACUGUUAUUAUAUGUAAACUUAAUCAAAGAUAGAUGAUCAUCCCAAUUAUUUUUAAAAAUCAAGAACAUAUGCUCAUAACAUAUCUUCCAAGGAUUGAAUAAUCCUCUCGGCUUGCCCGUCUGUUUGGGGGUGAAAGAUUGUACUUAGAUUAACUUGGGUACCAAGACAUUCCUGAAAACUCUUCCAGAACUAGGCAGUAAACUGAGGACCCAUGUCAAAAAUAAUGGACACAAUAGAACCAUACAAUCGAGUAAUUUCUUUUAUGUAUAAUGAUGCAUAUUGAGGAGAUGUGUAGGUUGUUUUGAGUGGUAAAAAGUGAGUUGACUUAGUGAGUUGGUCUAUUAUGACCCAAAUGGAAUCAUGUUUCUUAAAAGUUCGCGAUAAGCCAACCAUAAAAUCCAUAUUUAUUUGUUCCUAUUUCCAUUCUGGUAUUUCAAUGACUUGAGUUAAGCCGUCUGGUCUCUGAUAUUCUGUUUUUACUUGCUGAUAGUUAAGGCACCGUGGUACAUAAUCUGCAAUAUCUCAUUUCAUAUUAUUCCACCAAUAAAUAUCUUUUUAAUCAUGAUACAUUUUAGUAGAACCCGAAUGUAUUGAAUAUCUUGAGCUAUAACUUCUACCAUAAUUGCCCUUCAAAGAUCAUCUAUGUUAGGCACACAUAAGCGACCAUCAAGUUUUAUCACACCAUUCUCAUCAAGUACAAAAUUUUUAAUCUUGCCACUAAGAACACCUUCCUUGAGCUUAAUCAAGCUAGCGUCAUCGAAUUGUUUGGUUUUAAUUUGCUCUACUAAAGUAGACUUAGAACCCAUACUUGCUAUAAACCUACAAUCAUACCUCUCAUCUAGACGAAUCCCUUGGCUAGCUAUUUGUAGGGCUUCCUUUACUAUUGGACGUUCCACCACAGAAAACCUGACCAAACUCCCCAGGGAUUUUCUACUCAGAGCUCAGCAACCACAUUCGCUUUACCCGGAUAAUAAAUGAUAUUACAAUCAAAAUCCUUAAGCAAUUUCAACUACCUGUGUUCUCUCAUGUUAAACUUUUUCUGCUUGAAUAUAUAUUACAAACUUUUGUGAUUGUAUAAAUGCCACACUGCUCUCUAUAAAGGUAGUGACAUCAUAUUCUUAGUACAAAAAUAACUGAUGCUAGUUCAAGAUUGAGGGUAGGUUAAUUUCUCUCAUGAUUAUUUAACUACUAGAAGCAUAAGAAAUUACCUUGUCAUUGUGCAUAAGAACACAUCCUAACCCCCACUCUGGAAGCAUCACAAUAGAUCACAUAUCUACAUGUAGGGGUAGGUAGAGUUAAUAUUGAGGUUAUAGUCAACUUGUUUUUGAGUUCCUGAAAACUUUUCUCACAAGUUUCAGACCAUUGAAACUUUACAUUUUUCUGGGUUAACUUUGUCAAUGGGACAGCCAGUGAAGAGAACCCUUCUACAAAACGACGGUAGUAACCUACCAAUCCUAGAAAACUAUGAAUCUUUGCAGGGGUCAUCGGCCUAGGCUAUUUUUAACUGCUUUAUUUUCUAUGGAUCUACUCUAAUGCCUUUUCUUGAGACCACGUGUCCCAAAAAUAUAAUUGUAUCGAGCCAAAAUUCAUAUUUGGAGAAUUUGGCAUAAAGCUGACGCUCCUUGAGUAUCUGAAGAACUAUUCUCAAAUGUUUUUCAUGCUCUUCAUGGCUGCAUGAAUAUGCCAAAAUAUUAUCGAUAAAUACUAUGAUAAAAGUAUCUAAGAAAGUCUUGAAGACUCUGUUCAUUAUGUACAUAAAAGUCGCUGGUGCAUUGGUCAAUCCAACGGACACUACUAAAAAUUUAUAACGACCAUAUUGAGUCCUGAAAGAUAUUUUUGGAAUAUUUGCUUCUCUAAUUUUUAACUAAUAGUAUCUCGAUCUUAGAUCUAUUUUUAAGAAAUACCUAGCACCUUGUAAAUGAUCAAUAAGUCAUCUAUCUUGGGCAGUGGAUAUUUAUAUUUUAUAGUAACCUUAUUCAGGUGGUAGAAAUCUAUGCACAUCUAUAGAGAACCAUCUUUUUUCUUCACGAACAAUAUUGAAGCACCCUAGGGUAAAACACUUGGUCGAAUAAAACCCUUAUCUAAAAGGUAUUGUAAUUGCAUGAUAAUUUAACUAUCUUAGUGUGGCAAUCAACUAUAGCAUGAUAAGAGGAUAACCAGUCCAUGCCAGCUAUGAUAUCAAAGUCAACCAUAUCUAACAAGUUUAAAUCAACUAAUGUUUCUCGGCCCUAAACUGUGAUGAUGCAAUCUCUGAAUAUAUAUUCAACUUUAACAGAUUUCUCUAUGGGUGUGGAAACCUCAAACGGAACCCCCUAAUGUUUCUGGUGCUUUCACAAAGUCGACACAGAAAUAAGGAGACACAUAGGAGAAAGUUUAACCUGGAUCAAUUAAUACAUAACCAAGGCAACCACAAACUAAGAGCAUACCUAUAAUAACUUUGUUAGAUAUCUCAGCAUUCUUUAUGUCUAGAACUGCAUAGAGUCUGGCUGGUCCGCCUCUUCCCCGAGAUUCACCUUUAUUUGUACCACGCCUAGUCUGAGUAUUAGGUUCCCGAACUGGAGGAGGUAAAAUUAAAGAAUUACAUGUGGAUGCUACCUGGGCUACUAGAGCCUUCCAUGGAGCAUGCCCAAGUUGUGGACAAUCUUUCAUAAGGUGACAUGGGUCAUAGCAGUAAUAACAUCCUCUCUAACCAAAAAGGCAUUGCUCGAGAUGAUUUUUGUUGCACACGGAACAAAUUGGAUAGGAGAACCAAGUCUGGCCUUGACUAGUUAAACUGUGCCCCAUAUAGGCUUAACCAUUACUCUGUUGACCCUGUCUGAAUGGAGCUGGAUAAGAAGACAAGUGAGAUGUUGACUGACUCUGAGCUGAGUGAUUCAUGUUCUUUUCCCCAAUUGAAAGUCCACUAUAACUACCUAUAGCUCUUGCCUUCUUUUCAUUCUCUGUAGCUUCCCUGGCAAUUUUAUCAAAGACCUCCUUGCAUGUAGCAAUAUUAACUACCUAAAGGUAAGUCUUAUCAUCCUGGUGCGAAGUCAUAUCUUUGGCCAUAUAUGGAUUCAAGCCAUCAAUGAAAUCGUCUGACUUUUUCUCUCUGUGUCGGUAUCAAAUUAGGUGCAUACUUUACCAAGUUUGUGAAUUCCAUCUCGUAUUGAGCCACUAACAUGGUGCUAUAUUUAAGAUGUUCAAACUAACACCAGAGAUCAUCAUACGACUGUAGGGGUACUUUCAGGCGAAUAUUUAUGCUUAACAGUUCGGCUUAUCGGUUUAUAAAUAUGUUAAUCUGCUAGCUAUUCAAUAAGACAUUGGUGAAUUGGUCUAAGAUUAAUGAUUAUCGGGCGAUUUAUAACCUAAAUCAAAUAGACAAAGAGUCUAUUAGCGUAAUUCCUUCUUCAUUUAGAAACUGCUUGAAAAUGAGUAAUAUAUUGCUUGGUGAGCAUCACAUGGCAAGCUAAGUGAUUAUGGGAUGUCUAUCCUUAUGGAAGAAAGUUCUGACUUAAAAUGAAGUUGUUGUCUAGCUGAGCAAAUAUUUAAAUAUUCUCAACAAGAAAAACUUUUGAACGUUACAUAUUCUAUGACGAGAUUAGGAAUUUGUGAAAAAAUUUAAUUAGGAAUUAAGGUGAUAGAGAAGAGAGAAGAGAUGACUAUUGCGGGCUGCUAUUCCUGGUGUUGAAUUGAGAUUUAAUAAAUUAGGGAUUUAGGGUUUCAAAUAUUACUUAUAAACAUAGGAGUAAAGUGUAAAUAUAAAAAUCCUUAAUAGGUAAAUAAUUUAUCCGAUAAGAAAAUUGAGUAUUCCACUCCCAAACCAUUAAGAAAUUAAUUAUAAAAUUUCAAUUAGUUCAUCAACCAUUAUCCCGAUAACUCGAUAUCAAUAAACCAAUAAGUUAUUUUUACUGUUCGGUUAACUGUUAUGGUUUGAUUUUUAACAGCCCUAUCCGACUGCUAGGCAAAAACUUGGCCCUAAAAGCUUAUUUAAAUUGUGUCCAAGUAAGUGGCGAUAAUAUGAAAUCUCUAGCCUUCUUGUAACCUCUCCACCAUUUUCCUGUUGUACCCUUCAACCGAAACCUAAUUAACUUUGUGGCUAAUAUUUCAAGGCAAUCCAAAAAAAUAAACAUUUCCUCUAUCUCUUCCGAAAAUAGCAUUGGCUCAUUCGGCUUGUUUGUACCAUUAUAAGUAGGAGGUUUUAAUCUCAGAAAGACAUGUGGAUCGAUUCUUCCUGUUGGUAACUGCACUGGCUGGGCAAUAUAUUUGCAGGGACAGGAAGAGGUGGUAUCCCAGGUAGAGCCUGAAAAUAAUGUUCUAUAACCUCUUCAUCAGAAUCAUGAAGGUCAUGAGGAGGAGUAUGAAUAGGUGCAGCCCGACCAUCUACUGGAGGGGCUAGGGACUCCAGAAAAUCCAAAAUUCUAUCAUUUCGAUCAUCACGUUGUUGUGGUUGAUUCACCCUGAGUGGGUUAGGAGGGGGUGUGACUUUAAUCUGAUCAUUAUCAACCUACUGAGGUGGAGUCUGUGCCUUUCCAGUGGCCCUACAACGAGCCCGAUUACCUCUGGCAUUUUCACCUUUACUCGUGGCAUUCUGAUCUCGACCUCUACCUAUACCUCUUCCACGUUCUCUAAUUGUAGUUGGUGCCUUUGGUGCAGUCUGUACCUCUGGUACUUCUUCUUGAUGAUUAGAAGCUGGUAUCCCAACAUUGUUAGCAGUAGAGGAUGAAGUUGAUCUUGUUUAGAAAUGAGAGACAAAGGACUGUUAGAAUUUUGAAACAUUUAGUUCUAACUCAUAAUGUAAGAAUCAAAGAAAAGGUAAUUUCUUAACAUGUCCUACAGCCUCCCAGAUAUAAGUAUGGUGCACAACAUACCUAUAAGUAAGACUCUACUAGACAUGACUCAUGAUUUUCUAGGACUCCCUAAACCUAAUCAUCUGGUAUCAACUUGUCAUGCCCCAAAAGCUAAGGUGGGACGUGAUUGGCACCCGACCUAAGGAACUGUAGAGUGAACACUUAACAAAGUUGUACUGAGAAUAAUGAUAACUGAAGUAACCCAAAAUGAGGCCAUGACAUAUUUAUUAACUAAAAAAAUUUAAUUCAAACUGAGAGUUAAGUCAUAAAUCUCAACAAAAUACCCAAUUGAGAAUAAAAAUUGUAUAAUACCCACUGGACUAAGUCAUGAGCCUCUAAGAAUAUCGAACAUUUACGUCCUUGGGGCACACUGCAAAUGAUAAAAUAAUAUAAAUAAAUACUAAAUUUGAGACCCACCAAGAAGAGAAUCGGGAAAAGUUGUGGUGGAAGCUAUUCCUAUCAUGUAGUGUCGGGAACGUGAUCAGCAAUAUCUGCAUCAAUGAUAAAUCAAAACAAGCCCUCACAGGCUAAAUAUCACGACGGGAUACCCAACAAGUCUCAUAGGCUUCCUCCUAAGAAGGCGGGGUGAGACCUUCUGGGAUAAAUAUAACAAGAAGGAAAAAAUAUCCAUAUAAAGCAUGUAAGCAAUUUAAGGUUUGAAAACUGAUAGCAGGCAAGACUAAAACUAUAAGCUGAACAUGUAAACAGAUAACUGAAAACUAAAACUUUAAAAUAAUAGUUAAAAUGGAAUGGAAUUUAAGUUACGUAUAGUGACCAUGUGUACAUGUGAUUUGACAACACACACAGGGGAGUGUCGGCCUAUCUCCCCAACAAAUAAUAGUUUCUGCGAUAGUAGGGUAGCUAAUCCUAGCCCUGGUGUCACUCACGCACAGGGAGGUUGUCUAGCUCUCCCUUCCGAAUAUGAACAUAUAAAUGCAUGAAUGAAUAAAUGAUGAAACUAAAUACUAAAGUGAAUGUAAAUAUCGCAAAUAAAAGUACAUAACAAGUAGUAAUACAAGUAAGCAUGUAAUUCUAUCACAUAUAAAGUAGUACUAAAUAAAAGUGGAAGUAAUAAAGUACAAGAAGAUAGGGAUUAGAUUUGUUGAACACAUGGAUCAUGUAGGUUUUAAUAAAAUUUUCUACUGGGAGAGUACGCCUCAACUCACCUAAAAGCUACGUGCUCACUGUAAUUCACGCUUUUUUCAAGAAAUCCCGAUUUACAAGUCUAUCUACAUGAUAAAGGGGAUCAAUUUACAUCUAUACAAGAACUAAAUGUAUAACUUAAUUCAUUUAGUUCAUGAAUAUUUAGGCUUAACCUGUACAACUUGUGAGUUCUAAUUCAAUAUGCACAAAUUAAGUCCACGCGUUCCAAGUUCUAUCAAUUAAUAGAUUUAAACAAUCUUCAAGUACACCCCAAGUUAUAAUAAUCGGCACCCAUUAAUGUUUCACCAUCUUUCACCACCACGCUUAUAUCCAAAGUUUCAAGUACUCGAAACAUAGAAAUAACUGAUAAACUAGCAUAAAUAAUGUUACUUACACAACAUCAACUAUUCUGAUAUUUUCGAAAUAUUGAUACAAUAGCUUUAAUCUAGAUGUAUUUACUUAGUUGAAAAGCUGUAAUAUUUAAUAAAAAAUAUUUCUUUUAAACCCAAAGCAUGCUCAUUCACCCCAUUUGUAACCAAACACGGAAGAUGACUUGAAUUUGUCAGAAUGUCAAUGAAUCGAGUAAAGUAUACUUUGUUCCAAAAUUUAUUCUUUAAAUUAUAUAUGAUAAUACCCACAACAAUAAAGAUGUACGCAAUACUCUUACAUUGAAUUUCUUCUUCACCGCUUGAAACAAUGCUUCGGGAUACCUAAUUCUCCUUUCCUCCCUUACUGCUACAUUUUUUUGUGUCUAAGAAAUUCCAAACCCCUUGCCCUUAAUCCCCACACUAACAGGCGUGGGCUUGGCCCAUUAUCUCAUUAUUUACAUAGUUUCUUUUUCUUUUCUCUUAUUUUUUUUCUCAUUCUUUGUUCAAAUUAUUAUUUCAAGCACUUUAGAUCCAUAUCUUGCACUCACAUGUAUAUUUCCAGAUAAUAUGCGUGAAGUGUGUGGGUCUUUAUACUCCCCGGGUAAUUUAAUUAUAUCAUUAAAUCCGUAAUUACUGAAAUUUUAAGCCUAGAAACUUAUGAUGCCUUACAGAAACCUCAAAAAUAGAGCAACAGAAGAAAGGGAAAGUAGGAUUUACGAUUUUUUAGAUCAGGAAGUGUAAUAAAAUUUUCUUUCUUUUUUCCUUUUGGGUAUUUUAAAUAGCGUCGUAUGAAUAAUGAAUUGGAGAGUUGAAGAAGAAAGGGGCAUGAGUGUGGGUCUGAACGAGAGAAGAAUGUGAGAAAGUUGCAACAUCCAUUUAUCGGAGUUCAUUUCUAAGAAGGUCACUGAACUUGAACUAAUGAAAUUUAUUCUUGAAAGUCACUUUACUUUGUUUUAUAACCGAAAAGUCAUCAUACUUUGAAUUAUAACUCAAAAGUCACUCAACAUAUUUAGGGUAUAUUAAAUAUUAUUUUUUUAUUUUUUUAAAACUCAAUCAAUUAAACAAUAAAAAGCCACCCAUUUAACCCGUGACUCAACCCGCUCUUUGACCCGACCCACUUUCUCUUAUUUUUGUUACAAAUAACGUAAAUAUUACUUUGUUGUUAAUUAUCUCGAUUUUCAACAUACUAGUUUAAGUAAAAUAUUAAAGCAGUUCGACUAGAAAUGGUCUUUUAGUAACAUUAUUUUUACUAUAAGCAAUGCGCGUUCUUGUUCUAAAACAUCGGGGAUGUUGUCUUUUAAUUUACUCUUAUAUUAAUAUUUGUCGGUCAAAAUUUCAAGCGUAAAUAACUUUUUUCAUUUUUCCUUCCUCUUUUUUAUUUUAUUCCACUUAAACGCUGCUAAUAUUUUUGUUUGACUUUCAAAUUUAACUCUAGUUUGUUAAGAUUAAUUUAACUCUAGUUGACAAGUGAGGAUUGCUCAGUUGGUAAAGCUCCUCCACCCACGACCGUAAAGUCCUGGGUUCGAGUCACGCUGGAGGGGAAGUGUGAAAACAGUAUAGAUCCUCCUAAUUUGGGAGGGGUUUAAAAAAAAGAUUAAUUUCUUAUUAUCUAUCUAAUACUUUGCUUAAACCAGUGUAUACAUUCAGUAUAAUUAUAUUGAAAACUAAUAUAAUACACUAUAGCAAAAUAAUAUUUACGUUUUUAUAAUAGAAAUAAGAGAAAAUGGGUCGGGUCAUGGAAUGGUCGAGUCAUGGUUUAAAUGGAUUUUUUGAUUUUUUAAAUGGUUGGGUUGUAAAGAAAUAUGAAAAAUAAUGAUUAAUAAUACCCUAAAAGUGUUGAGUGAAUUUUGAGUUACAAUGUGCAAAGUAUAAUGACUUUCCUGUUACAAAAUUAAAAAAAAAAAUAACUUUCAUAAACAAUUUUUAUUAGUUCAGUGACCAUACGAGAAAUGGACUCCCAUUUAUCCGUAUGUGUUGUGUUUUAUGUAAACUUUUAAUCAAAUAAGAGCACAUUUAGGAGUAAUUAGAAAAAUGAGGAAGAGAGAGAUUAUAGAAAGUGCAAAUGAAAAUGGGCAUACGAAUGUGUCCAAGUUGUUAAUAUGGUUACUAAUCUUUAAUACUCCAUUUUUUUAUGGAUAAUUUAAGAGACCUCCCUUCAAGUUUCGUCCUAUCACACUGACCUUCAUUGCGUUUAUAAUAUUACGCCGCCCUCCUUUUUUGAUUUUCUUGUAAUCAUUAUUUAAACUCAUUUUAAAUAAAUAUAAAUAAAAUAUAAUUUGAUAAAUUUGCCCUUUUUAGUAUUGAAAAAUACGAACCAACCCAAUCUAUAUACACUCCUACAUGUAUAUUUCCUUUUAGUAACGAGAUGAUAAUUUACACUACAAAUAGACUAUAAUUGUUAAGCUUUUAAUUUAUUCUAUGUAACAAAACUUCUAAAAUAGUGGUUACGUCCGUUUCAUUAGUUCUUAUGUUGUUUUCAAGGAUCAUUUUGAUGACGAGAAAAAUCAAACUUUCUCUAACAGUAAUUAAAUUCAAAGUAAUUUAUCUAAUUGAAAGAAAUUAACAUUAAAAAGGGCAAAUCUGUCAAAUUAUAUUUUAUUUAUAUUUAUUUUAAAUGAGUUUAAAGAAUAGUUACAAAAAAAUCAAAAUAAGGGAGGUAGGUGUAAUAUUGUAAACCACAAGAGAGAUAACUGUGAUAGGGCGAAACCUGAAGGGAGAUUAGUGUGAUAGGGAGAAACAUGGAGGAGCACUCUCAAUUUAUCCGUUUCUUUUUAAGAAAAAUAUUUUCCACUCACUUGGUCUAAUUUGUGACGCACACGAUAGUAAUAAUUGGUUAGAAAAUUUGACCUUUUCUACGUGGUGUAAAUAAAGCACUAAAGCGAAGUUGCUUUCAGGGGUUAUAUUGAUGGUGAUGGAGUAAUGGACUAGUGGUAAUGGUAAUGAUAAUUGUCUAAAUUAUAUGAAAUUUAAGGCCUCCAGUUUUUGUUGAUAAUUUCUUGCACGCAAAUGAAAUAUUCAGCCUAUAAUAAUUUGCACGAAAGAAUAGGGCACUGACGUGAGUUUACCUCACCUUCAUAAUUGCAGCUUUACUUUCCCAUCUUAACAUUCGUUAUUUUAUAAAAAAAUGAAUUUGAUUAUAAGCAGACAUAAUUUAUACAUAAUAAAAGGAGAAGCCAACUUGUAUUCUAUAUAUUGAUAAGUUCGUGUUACAGCCCAAAUCAGCUUCCUUUCAUACAAAUAUCAUAUUAGAAAACCAAACAGAAAAACCAUGAAACAACAUCAAACAAACCUUGUCAAAAAGAUUUGGAGAUGGUCAGUUUCAUGGUUGUAGUUUUAUUAAUACUACAAAGCUUUUAAAACACAUAAUAUAUUUUUGGGCCAGCUAAUGACCAUGUUCAUCAGCAGUUGCAAGGGUCACAUUUGCAGUUUGCUCCGCACUUGCAGCCAUUUCCUCCUUCUGUUGCUUUCUCAGCAGAUCCCUCGU